This 443-nucleotide ribosomal RNA is filed under the name uncultured bacterium. RNAcentral describes it as "partial 16S ribosomal RNA". It matches the Rfam family "Bacterial small subunit ribosomal RNA", at positions 338 to 795 of the family's 1533-position model. The record is from RNAcentral.
CCUACGGGAGGCAGCAGUGGGGAAUAUUGGGCAAUGGGGGCAAGCCUGACCCAGCAACGCCGCGUGAAGGAAGAAGGCUUUCGGGUUGUAAAGUUCUUUCAUUAGGGACGAAACAAAUGAGGGUACUACACGAAUAAGCCACGGCUAACUACGUGCCAGCAGCCGCGGUAAUACGUAGGGGGCAAGCGUUAUCCGGAUUGACUGCGUGCAAAGGGCGUGUAGGCGGGACUGCAAGUCAGAUGUGAAAAGUAUGGGCUCAACCCAUGACCUGCAUUUGAUACUGUAGGUCUUGAGUGCUGGAGGGGCAGGCGGAAUUCCGUGUGUAGCGGUGAAAUGCGUAGAUAUACGGAGGAAUACCGGUGGCGAAGGCAGCCUGCUGGACAUUAACUGACGCUGAGGCGCGAAAGCGUGGGGAGCAAACAGGAUUAGAUACCCCAGUAGUC